This 2377-nucleotide long non-coding RNA is filed under the name Olea europaea subsp. europaea. The record is from RNAcentral. Lineage: Eukaryota; Viridiplantae; Streptophyta; Magnoliopsida; Lamiales; Oleaceae.
GUUUGGUCAAACCCCAAAUUAUCUCAAAUUGAAGCAAUUUAGGUGCCCAUGCUUCCCUUUGACCCAAUCUUAUAAUCGUCACAAACGUCAACCCAAGUCUAGGCCUUGUGUGUUUAUGGGCUACUCCAAAACCCAAAGUGCCUAUCCUUGCCUUGACCUAGCAACAAAUCGCUUAUAAUAAUCCGGACAUGUUCUGUUUGAUGAAAUAUAAUUUCCUCUUAACACAUCUCUCAGUCCCGUUUGUGCAACACCGACUCCUUCAGAAAAGUCACUACAUGAUUUCCCGCCAUAGUCAAUUCUCGUACUAGCUUCUCCAUCACAAGUCUUUCCUAUACCAUCUCCAGUGCCAGUGUCUCUGGAAUUUGACCUGCAAUGUCUCUGUGUGUGUCCUUUACAGUGACUACAUCCAACUUAGUAAGUUCCUCUCCCUCUUCAAUUUCCUAUUCAUUACCUAGUUUACCCAAUUUUACUAUACUUGAGCCUCAUACAGUCCACACUUCCCCUCUCUGAAUCCACCAAAUGGUAACCAGGUCGAUAAAUAAUAUCUACAAACCAAAACAAAUGUCUCUAGUCACUAAGCAUCCCGUAGCAUCCUUCGUGGAACCAACUUGUGUUAGUCAGGCAUUAUCUGAUCCUCAAUGGCAUUAAGCAAUGCCCAAUGAACUCACUGCCCUCAUGCGACAUGAUACAUGGGAAUUAGUGCCAUUGCCUACAAGGUCAAAGGUUGUUGGGUGUAAGUGGGUCUUUAGAGUCAAAUGGCAUGCUGAUGGUUCUAUUAAUAGGUUCAAAGCUCCGUUGGUUGUAAAAGGCUAUAAUCAACGACCUGGGAUUGAUUAUACUGAAACCUUUAGUCCUGUAGUUAAACCUGCCACCAUAUUUACUGUUUUGUCUAUUGUUGUUAUGCAGGGAUGGCCAUUAAGAUAGAUGGAUAUUAACAAUUCCUUUCUCCAUGGCCACUAAUCGGAAGAUGUCUACAUGAUCCAACCUCCAAGAUUUCGUGAUCCAACUAAACCAGAUCAUGUCUGUCAUCUUUGAAAGGCAAUUUAUGGCCUCAAACAAGCCCCUCGUGCUUAGCACUCGGCUCUCAAACAGGCAUUACUAGAUUUUUGGAUUUGUGAAUGUAAAAUUGGAUUCAUCACUUUUGGUGCACCAUUCUGGUUCUACUCUUACCUACUUUCUAGUUUGUGUGGAUGAUUUAAUUAUUACUAAAAUGAUUCUGCCUUUGUGACUAGCAUUAUUCAGAAACUUGGUCGCAAGUUCUCUCUCACAGAUUUAGGACCACUCCAUUUUUCCUUGGUAUUAAGGUAAUCCCUAUAAUGACUGGGCUAUUUCUCAUGUAACAUAGGUACAUACGGGAUUUAUUGUCCAAGACAAAUACGGAUGGUACAAAGGAUGUGACAACACCUCUUUCCACCUCUAUACCCUUGAAUUUGUCUCAUGGUUUACCUUUUGUGGACCAAACCGAAUAUCGCAGAAUCAUUGGAACUUUGCAAUACCUGUCUUUAACUAGGCCUGACAUUAGUUUUGCAGUGAAUAAGCUCUCCCAAUUCAUGCAUCAUCCAUUGGCCCAACAGUAGGCAGCUACCAAACGUUUGCUACUUUACCUGCAGAACACCAUUUUUCAUGGACUUGUGCUUCACAAGACUGCUGGAUCAUCUCUUUUGAGUUAUUCUGAUGCUGAUUGGGCAGGUAACCUUGAUGAUCAUAGUUCUACAUUGGCAUAUCUCAUUUUACUUGGGUCAAUUCCUAUAUCAUGGAGCUUAAAGAGACAAUGCUCGAUUUCUAGAUCAUCCACCGAGGCAAAAUAUCGAGCUCUUGCUACAGAUACUUCUGAGACCAUGUGGCCCCUCUUUCUGCUUCAUGAACUGAAGUUUCCUCUUGCAUAGCCUCCACUCCUCUUAUGUGUCAAUCUUGGAGCAACACAUUUAAACUUUAUUCCAAUCCAGCAUUCACGGACGAAACACAUUCAACUAGACCUUCAUUUCAUCUGUGUCUUACUUCAGAAGGGAAAACUUAAUGUUCGUCAUGUUCACACUCAAGAUCAACUAGCUGAUCUCUUGACCAAGCCUCUCUCACGAGAAAGAACUCAAUAUCUUAGAGACAAGAUCGGCCUCGCCAAUGGCAUCCCGUUCUUUUAGGGGUGUAUUAAGGAAGAUGCCACGAAUCAUGCCAUACCUCUUGCGAACAACUGUAUUAAGGAAGAUGCCAUGAAUCAAGCCAUGCCUAUUCCGAAAAACUGUAAUCAAGGCUUCAUUGGCUAAAAUUAUGAAGCACAUCUGUAGCGUUGUAAUUAGCAAUUUACUCUAUUUAGAUUAAACCAUAGUUGUAUAUAAACACACUCACUGAUGAAUGAAAUAUGUGCAAAGUUAAAAUCUCA